RNAcentral lists this long non-coding RNA (201 nucleotides) under Phoenix dactylifera (date palm). Its description in RNAcentral is "long non-coding RNA (PDAC_LNC006446)". Lineage: Eukaryota; Viridiplantae; Streptophyta; Magnoliopsida; Arecales; Arecaceae. The record is from RNAcentral.
GUCUUAGCUAGCCAAGAGGUACUGUAAUGGGCUCAAAGAUGCUACUGAUCGAAUGCAACUGAGCUGGCCUUGCUAGUGGCCGAGAAUAACUUCGCUGGCCUUGCUAGUGGCCGAGAAUGACUAGCUGGCCCCGCCAGUGGCCGAAUGGACUUCGCAGUAGCAUCCGAGAGAAUGGACCACGGCAUGCCGGGGGCACGGUUA